GCGCGAGGUCCUGAGCAACGCCUGGCACCGCGUCCCCGUCACCGUCACCAAGUGAGGGACAGCAGGACAUUGGGGUACUGGGGCUUUGGGGACAUUGGGGACAUCAGAGGUACAACCUCACCAUGGGUGAGGGACAUCUUUGGGGACAGCAGGACAUUGGGGUAUUGAGGCUUUGGGGACAUUGGGGACACAGCAGGGACAUCGGGGACAUUGGGGACAUCUGGAACCUGUGCGGGGUCCUCAGCAAUGUCUGGCACUGGGUCCCCGUCACCAUCACCAAGUCAGGGACAGCAGGACAUUGGGGACAUUGGGGUCAGCAGGGACAUCAGGGACAUCUGGAAUUUGUGUGGGGUCCUCAGCAGCGCCUGGCACCGGGUCAGUGUCACCGUCACCAAGUGAAGGACAUUGGGGUACUGGGGACAUUGGGGUUUUGGGGACAUCGGGGACACAGCAGGGACAUCGGGGACAUUGGGGACAUCAGAGGUACGACGUCCAACCGGACACCGUGGGGCCCAUCUGGAACCUGAGCAAGGCCUGGCACGGGGUCAGCGUCACCGUCACCCAGUGAGGGACAUCGGGGACAUCGGGGACAUCUGGAACCUGCCCAGGGUCCCGAGCAAGGCCUGGCACCGGGUCAGUGUCACCGUCACCCAG
Molecule: long non-coding RNA, 654 nt
Filed under: Junco hyemalis (dark-eyed junco)
Lineage: Eukaryota; Metazoa; Chordata; Aves; Passeriformes; Passerellidae
Description: lncRNA (ENSJHYG00000002403.1)
Source: RNAcentral